RNAcentral lists this ribosomal RNA (494 nucleotides) under uncultured bacterium. RNAcentral describes it as "partial 16S ribosomal RNA". It matches the Rfam family "Bacterial small subunit ribosomal RNA", at positions 28 to 507 of the family's 1533-position model. The record is from RNAcentral.
GACGAACGCUGGCGGCGUGCUUAACACAUGCAAGUCGAACGGUGAAGCGCCUUCCUUUUUGGUGGGUGUGGAUGAGUGGCGAACGGGUGAGUAACACGUGAGUAACCUGCCCCCUUCUUCUGGAUAACCGCAUGAAAGUGUGGCUAAUACGGGAUAUUCUGGGUCUGUCGCAUGAUGGGUCUGGGAAAGAUAUUGUUUCGGUGGGGGAUGGGCUCGCGGCCUAUCAGCUUGUUGGUGGGGUGAUGGCCUACCAAGGCGGUGACGGGUAGCCGGCCUGAGAGGGUGGACGGUCACACUGGGACUGAGACACGGCCCAGACUCCUACGGGAGGCAGCAGUGGGGAAUAGGGCACAAUGGGCGCAAGCCUGAUGCAGCGACGCCGCGUGAGGGAUGGAGGCCUUCGGGUUAUGAACCUCUUUCGCCAGUGAAGCAGGCCUGCCUCGUUUGUGGGUGGGUUGACGGUAGCUGGAGAAGAAGCGCCGGCUAACUACGUG